GAUGAACGCUGGCGGCGUGCCUAAUACAUGCAAGUCGAGCGAACAGAUAAGGAGCUUGCUCCUUUGACGUUAGCGGCGGACGGGUGAGUAACACGUGGGUAACCUACCUAUAAGACUGGGAUAACUUCGGGAAACCGGAGCUAAUACCGGAUAACAUUUGGAACCGCAUGGUUCUAAAGUGAAAGAUGGUUUUGCUAUCACUUAUAGAUGGACCCGCGCCGUAUUAGCUAGUUGGUAAGGUAACGGCUUACCAAGGCGACGAUACGUAGCCGACCUGAGAGGGUGAUCGGCCACACUGGAACUGAGACACGGUCCAGACUCCUACGGGAGGCAGCAGUAGGGAAUCUUCCGCAAUGGGCGAAAGCCUGACGGAGCAACGCCGCGUGAGUGAUGAAGGGUUUCGGCUCGUAAAACUCUGUUAUUAGGGAAGAACAAAUGUGUAAGUAACUGUGCACGUCUUGACGGUACCUAAUCAGAAGGCCACGGCUAACUACGUG
Molecule: ribosomal RNA, 497 nt
Filed under: uncultured bacterium
Lineage: Bacteria
Description: partial 16S ribosomal RNA
Rfam family: Bacterial small subunit ribosomal RNA
Source: RNAcentral